This 617-nucleotide long non-coding RNA is filed under the name Homo sapiens (human). RNAcentral's name for it is "HSALNT0099208". The record is from RNAcentral. Lineage: Eukaryota; Metazoa; Chordata; Mammalia; Primates; Hominidae.
GCACAACUCCUACGUACUGAUGGUGGUCUUACGUUUCCCUAAGUUUCUGCCGACUAAACUGUGCACACGUUCUCAGGACCUCCUGAAGCUGCGUCACAGGCGCUGAUCAAAGAACACAACCAAGAGUUUGGCCUUUUCUUCAGCACUGGGAAUUGUGAUCCAAAGCUUUUCCUGAUGAGGCACAAAGUUGGAGAAACAAAACGCAAACUAAGCAACAAUGAAACAGAACAGAGUGAAUCUGCUGUAGCUCAAGAGAGGACGUAGCUGCCCCCACCCCGCAUCCCUGGGCUCGGGUUUGCCUUGCUGACCUCUGCUGCCACCUGGUGCCGCACAGAGAAACUGAGGAGAAACCACAUCAGUCUCCUUCAGCCUCAGCUUCACAUCUGUGGGUCAAGCAACCCUUUCAGAAGCUGUAUAAUGUGGGAAAGCUUUCCUCUCAGGAAAAUGCACACAUCCAACUUUGAGAAGAUGCCCUUGGGGGUGCUUCAAGGAUCCUAGAUAAUAACCCCCUUUCCCGAACAUCCAAGAACCUAAGUUUUUUUUUUUUUUUUGAGAAAGUCUCGCUCUCUCUCCCAUUCUGGAGUGCAGUGGCGUGAUCUUGGCUCACUGCAAGCUCC